AUUGAACAUAAGAGUUUGAUCCUGGCUCAGAUUGAACGCUGGCGGCAUGCUUUACACAUGCAAGUCGGACGGCAGCACAGAGAAGCUUGCUUCUUGGGUGGCGAGUGGCGAACGGGUGAGUAAUAUAUCGGAACGUACCGAGUAAUGGGGGAUAACUAAUCGAAAGAUUAGCUAAUACCGCAUAUUCUCUGAGGAGGAAAGCAGGGGACCUUCGGGCCUUGCGUUAUUCGAGCGGCCGAUAUCUGAUUAGUUAGUUGGUGGGGUAAAGGCCUACCAAGGCGACGAUCAGUAGCGGGUCUGAGAGGAUGAUCCGCCACACUGGGACUGAGACACGGCCCAGACUCCUACGGGAGGCAGCAGUGGGGAAUUUUGGACAAUGGGCGCAAGCCUGAUCCAGCCAUGCCGCGUGUCUGAAGAAGGCCUUCGGGUUGUAAAGGACUUUUGUCAGGGAAGAAAAGGCUGUUGCUAAUAUCGACAGCUGAUGACGGUACCUGAAGAAUAAGCACCGGCUAACUACGUGCCAGCAGCCGCGGUAAUACGUAGGGUGCGAGCGUUAAUCGGAAUUACUGGGCGUAAAGCGAGCGCAGACGGUUACUUAAGCAGGAUGUGAAAUCCCCGGGCUCAACCCGGGAACUGCGUUCUGAACUGGGUAACUAGAGUGUGUCAGAGGGAGGUAGAAUUCCACGUGUAGCAGUGAAAUGCGUAGAGAUGUGGAGGAAUACCGAUGGCGAAGGCAGCCUCCUGGGAUAACACUGACGUUCAUGCUCGAAAGCGUGGGUAGCAAACAGGAUUAGAUACCCUGGUAGUCCACGCCCUAAACGAUGUCAAUUAGCUGUUGGGCAACUUGAUUGCUUAGUAGCGUAGCUAACGCGUGAAAUUGACCGCCUGGGGAGUACGGUCGCAAGAUUAAAACUCAAAGGAAUUGACGGGGACCCGCACAAGCGGUGGAUGAUGUGGAUUAAUUCGAUGCAACGCGAAGAACCUUACCUGGUCUUGACAUGUACGGAAUCCUCCAGAGACGGAGGAGUGCCUUCGGGAGCCGUAACACAGGUGCUGCAUGGCUGUCGUCAGCUCGUGUCGUGAGAUGUUGGGUUAAGUCCCGCAACGAGCGCAACCCUUGUCAUUAGUUGCCAUCAUUUAGUUGGGCACUCUAAUGAGACUGCCGGUGACAAGCCGGAGGAAGGUGGGGAUGACGUCAAGUCCUCAUGGCCCUUAUGACCAGGGCUUCACACGUCAUACAAUGGUCGGUACAGAGGGUAGCCAAGCCGCGAGGUGGAGCCAAUCUCACAAAACCGAUCGUAGUCCGGAUUGCACUCUGCAACUCGAGUGCAUGAAGUCGGAAUCGCUAGUAAUCGCAGGUCAGCAUACUGCGGUGAAUACGUUCCCGGGUCUUGUACACACCGCCCGUCACACCAUGGGAGUGGGGGAUACCAGAAGUAGGUAGGGUAACCGCAAGGAGUCCGCUUACCACGGUAUGCUUCAUGACUGGGGUGAAGUCGUAACAAGGUAGCCGUAGGGGAACCUGCGGCUGGAUCACCUCCUUUCUAG
Molecule: ribosomal RNA, 1548 nt
Filed under: Neisseria flavescens
Lineage: Bacteria; Pseudomonadati; Pseudomonadota; Betaproteobacteria; Neisseriales; Neisseriaceae
Description: bacterial SSU rRNA
Rfam family: Bacterial small subunit ribosomal RNA
Source: RNAcentral